RNAcentral lists this ribosomal RNA (585 nucleotides) under uncultured bacterium. Its description in RNAcentral is "partial 16S ribosomal RNA". It matches the Rfam family "Bacterial small subunit ribosomal RNA", at positions 355 to 1375 of the family's 1533-position model. The record is from RNAcentral.
UGGGGAAUUUUGGACAAUGGGCGGAAGCCUGAUCCAGCAAUGCCGCGUGUGUGAAGAAGGCCUUCGGGUUGUAAAGCACUUUUGUCCGGAAAGAAAUCCUUGGCUCUAAUACAGUCGGGGGAUGACGGUACCGGAAGAAUAAGCACCGGCUAACUACGUGCCAGCAGCCGCGGUAAUACGUAGGGUGCAAGCGUUAAUCGGAAUUACUGGGCGUAAAGCGUGCGCAGGCGGUUUGCUAAGACCGAUGUGAAAUCCCCGGGCUCAACCUGGGAACUGCAUUGGUGACUGGCAGGCUAGAGUAUGGCAGAGGGGGGUAGAAUUCCACGUGUAGCAGUGAAAUGCGUAGAGAUGUGGAGGAAUACCGAUGGCGAAGGCAGCCCCCUGGGCCAAUACUGACGCUCAUGCACGAAAGCGUGGGGAGCAAACAGGAUUAGAUACCCUGGUAGUCCACGCCCUAAACGAUGUCAACUAGUUGUUGGGGAUUCAUUUCCUUAGUAACGUAGCUAACGCGUGAAGUUGACCGCCUGGGGAGUACGGUCGCAAGAUUAAAACUUAAAUGAAUUGACGGGGUCAUAGCUGUUUCCU